CCUACGGGUGGCAGCAGUGAGGAAUAUUGGUCAAUGGACGAGAGUCUGAACCAGCCAAGUAGCGUGAAGGAUGACUGCCCUAUGGGUUGUAACCUUCUUUUAUAUGGGAAUAAAAUGUUCCACGUGUGGGAUUUUGUAUGUACCAUAUGAAUAAGGAUCGGCUAACUCCGUGCCAGCAGCAGCGGUAAUACGGAGGAUCCGAGCGUUAUCCGGAUUUAUUGGGUUUAAAGGGAGCACAGGUGGAUUGUUAAGUCAGUUGUGAAAGUUUGCGGCUCAACCGUAAAAUUGCAGUUGAAACUGGAAGUCUUGAGUACAGUAGAGGUGGGCGGAAUGCGUGGUGUAGCGGUGAAAUGCUUAGAUAUCACGCAGAACUCCGAUUGCGAAGGCAGCUCACUGGACUGCAACUGACACUGAGGCUCGAAAGUGUGGGUAUCAAACAGGAUUAGAUACCCUUGUAGUC
This 460-nucleotide ribosomal RNA is filed under the name uncultured bacterium. RNAcentral describes it as "partial 16S ribosomal RNA". It matches the Rfam family "Bacterial small subunit ribosomal RNA", at positions 338 to 795 of the family's 1533-position model. The record is from RNAcentral.